RNAcentral lists this transfer RNA (68 nucleotides) under Marmota monax (woodchuck). RNAcentral describes it as "tRNA.Ala". The record is from RNAcentral. Lineage: Eukaryota; Metazoa; Chordata; Mammalia; Rodentia; Sciuridae.
GGAUUGUGGCUCAGUGGUACAGCACUUGCCUAGCAUGCGUGAGGCACUGGGUUCAAUCCCCAGAACCA